This 166-nucleotide unclassified non-coding RNA is filed under the name uncultured Ascomycota. RNAcentral describes it as "sequence contains ITS2". The record is from RNAcentral. Lineage: Eukaryota; Fungi; Ascomycota.
CAAACCUCAAGCCUUUGCUUGCUGUUGGAGCAUUGCGCAUCUCCCUUUUAGGGAACGCAAGCCCUGAAUUAUAGUGGCGGAGCUGCUGUAGACUCUGAGCGUAGUACUACUAUUCGCUUCUGGAAUCUCGGUGGUGCCUGCCGUAAAACCCACUAUAUUUUCUCUU